Molecule: ribosomal RNA, 305 nt
Filed under: uncultured bacterium
Lineage: Bacteria
Description: bacterial SSU rRNA
Rfam family: Bacterial small subunit ribosomal RNA
Source: RNAcentral
CCUACGGGACGCAGCAGUGAGGAAUAUUGGUCAAUGGGAGAGAUCCUGAACCAGCCAAGCCGCGUGAGGGACGACGGUCCUAUGGAUUGUAAACCUCUUUUGUCGGGGAACAAAGGCGCCCACGGGUGGGCGGAUGAGUGUACCCGAAGAAAAAGCAUCGGCUAACUCCGUGCCAGCAGCCGCGGUAAUACGGAGGAUGCGAGCGUUAUCCAGAUUUAUUGGGUUUAAAGGGUGUGUAGGCGGACGGUCAAGUCAGCGGUAAAAAUGCGGUGCUCAACGCCGUACAGCCGUUGAAACUGGCAGUG